UCCUCACCAAAGCUGCGUUUCUUUGCUUCCACACAGACAAAGCGAUGCUUUACCGCUCGCCUUUGUCCUCUAUCUUGCAAAUGAGAAAUUCGGAGUAAUCUUCACACUUUACACUCACCUUGUUCUUGCAAAAGAGCGAGCUCUGAGUCACUGCCCGCGAGGGCCUGACGUGACACGUCUGCACCUGGCAUCAGAAACUCAGGACGUCUUGACCUAACAUCCACUGCGGUGGUGAAGAGGAAGAGAUCGCGUUCCUAUGGGAGCCGGUGCGAAGAUUGUGUGCGAGUCUUCAAUGACUUGCGAUACUUGAGUGCAAUACGCAGCGUUUUCUUCUUUCACGGAGGGAAUAAUUCGAUUCCGAUUACUCGGGUGAGGA
This 376-nucleotide RNase P RNA is filed under the name Aureobasidium pullulans EXF-150. Its description in RNAcentral is "Nuclear RNase P". It matches the Rfam family "Nuclear RNase P". From Rfam's summary of the family: Ribonuclease P (RNase P) is a ubiquitous endoribonuclease, found in archaea, bacteria and eukarya as well as chloroplasts and mitochondria. Its best characterised activity is the generation of mature 5'-ends of tRNAs by cleaving the 5'-leader elements of precursor-tRNAs. Lineage: Eukaryota; Fungi; Ascomycota; Dothideomycetes; Dothideales; Saccotheciaceae. The record is from Rfam by way of RNAcentral.